GAGCACAUGGUUACCGCAGUGGCUAGCGCUCUCUCCUUCUAGCCGGGAGACCUGGGAUCAAAUCCCAGCGAGCUCU
Molecule: transfer RNA, 76 nt
Filed under: Hordeum vulgare
Lineage: Eukaryota; Viridiplantae; Streptophyta; Magnoliopsida; Poales; Poaceae
Description: tRNA-OTHER
Source: RNAcentral